RNAcentral lists this ribosomal RNA (253 nucleotides) under uncultured bacterium. RNAcentral's name for it is "partial 16S ribosomal RNA". It matches the Rfam family "Bacterial small subunit ribosomal RNA", at positions 524 to 776 of the family's 1533-position model. The record is from RNAcentral.
UACGUAGGGCGCAAGCGUUAUCCGGAAUUAUUGGGCGUAAAGAGCUCGUAGGCGGUUUGUCGCGUCUGCGGUGAAAGUCCGGGGCUCAACUCCGGAUCUGCGGUGGGUACGGGCAGACUAGAGUGAUGUAGGGGAGACUGGAAUUCCUGGUGUAGCGGUGAAAUGCGCAGAUAUCAGGAGGAACACCGAUGGCGAAGGCAGGUCUCUGGGCAUUAACUGACGCUGAGGAGCGAAAGCAUGGGGAGCGAACAGG